AACCGAUAAUGGCAAACUUACUGAAAAGUAAGGACGCAAAGCUACGGGUCUAAUGCUGAGAAGCGAUGAUCGCCGGGCCGCCGAA
This 85-nucleotide non-coding RNA is filed under the name Heyndrickxia ginsengihumi. RNAcentral's name for it is "Bacillus ginsengihumi c-di-GMP sequence". It matches the Rfam family "c-di-GMP-I riboswitch aptamer". From Rfam's summary of the family: GEMM was predicted in a large-scale screen for bacterial structured RNA regulatory elements. Genes associated with GEMM are involved in a diverse array of functions, including chemotaxis regulation, signal transduction, secretion and chitin. Lineage: Bacteria; Bacillati; Bacillota; Bacilli; Caryophanales; Bacillaceae. The record is from Rfam by way of RNAcentral.